Molecule: ribosomal RNA, 449 nt
Filed under: uncultured bacterium
Lineage: Bacteria
Description: partial 16S ribosomal RNA
Rfam family: Bacterial small subunit ribosomal RNA
Source: RNAcentral
AACGAACGCUGGCGGCAUGCCUAACACAUGCAAGUCGAACGAGAUCUUCGGGUCUAGUGGCGCACGGGUGCGUAACGCGUGGGAAUCUGCCCUUUGGUUCGGAAUAACAGUUGGAAACGACUGCUGAUACCGGAUGAUGACGAAAGUCCAAAGAUUUAUCGCAAGAGGAUGAGCCCGCGUAGUAUUAGCUAGUUGGUGUGGUAAAGGCGCACCAAGGCUACGAUCCUUAGAUGGUCUGAGAGGAUGAUCAGCCACACUGGGACUGAGACACGGCCCAGACUCCAACGGGAGGCAGCAGUGGGGAAUAUUGGACAAUGGGCGAAAGCCUGAUCCAGCAAUGCCGCGUGAGUGAUGAAGGCCUUAGGGUUGUAAAGCUCUUUUACCCUGGAUGAUUAUUCCAGUACCGGGAGAAUAAGCUCCGGCUAACUCCGUGCCAGCAGCCGCCGUAA